GACAGAGGGUGCAAACGUUGUUCGGAAUUACUGGGCGUAAAGCGCGUGUAGGCGGCUAAGUAAGUCGGGCGUGAAAUCCCACGGCUCAACCGUGGAAAGUGCACUCGAAACUGCAUAGCUAGAGUCCUGGAGAGGAAGGUGGAAUGCUUGGUGUAGAGGUGAAAUUCGUAGAUAUCAAGCGGAACACCGGUGGCGAAGGCGGCCUUCUGGACAGUGACUGACGCUGAGACGCGAAAGCGUGGGGAGCAAACAGGG
RNAcentral lists this ribosomal RNA (255 nucleotides) under uncultured bacterium. RNAcentral describes it as "partial 16S ribosomal RNA". It matches the Rfam family "Bacterial small subunit ribosomal RNA", at positions 524 to 777 of the family's 1533-position model. The record is from RNAcentral.